Molecule: RNA transcript, 2296 nt
Organism: Mus pahari (shrew mouse)
Lineage: Eukaryota; Metazoa; Chordata; Mammalia; Rodentia; Muridae
Gene name: zinc finger protein OZF-like
Exons: 5
Source: RefSeq, a predicted model, not a curated record
UGAGCUUUCUUUCUCCCAUGAGACAAAUCAAAUGUCACCUGCUGUGGAACCCUGCUAUGGAACACAUACAGAAUAGAAUAGACCCCACUUUCUGUUCCAAAAGCUGACCACUUGGGUUGAAGAGAAACAUGUCAUUCCAGGGACUGAUAUCAUUUGAGGACGUGGCCGUGGACUUCACCUUGGAGGAGUGGCAGGACCUGGAUGCUGCCCAGAGGACCCUGUACCGGGACGUGAUGCUGGAGACCUACAGCAGCCUGGUGUCCCUGGGGCACUGUAUGAAAAAACCUGAAGUGAUCUUUAAGUUGGAGCAAGGAUGUGGGCCUUGGAGUGUAGCAGAAGCCUCAGACAGGAACCUCUCAGAUAUUCACAUACUGACUGCACCAAUUGUGACCAGCCAGAAAAAUCACAAGGCAUAUAUGCGGCAAGCUGGAACCACCCAAAACAAGUCAUCAAAUGAAAAGACUGCAGAGCUAAAGGAGCAACAGAAGAUCCAUCAAGGGUCAAAAUCCUGUGAAAGAGAAGUACAUGGAAAGACAUUGUUUCAGAAAGCCCAGACCACUGUGAUUCCGAUGUCUCCUACGUGUCAGACAGCUCUCCAUGACAAGACAACGCCCACUAAAGGUCAGAGACCUCACAGAGGGGAGAUGAGCCCUGAGUAUGAAGAAUGCAGAAAAACCAUCUUCCAGAACUCAGACGUUACAGGAUGUCAGAAAAAUCCUAUAGAUAAGAAGCUUCGUGGAUACACAGAAUGUGGAAAAGCCUUCUCUUGCAACUCAGAGCUCACAAGUCAUCCAAGAACUCACAUACGUAAGAGGCCUUAUAAAUGUAAGGAAUGUGGGAAGGCCUUCUGCUCUCAGGGAAAACUUACUUUACAUCAAAUAGUUCACACCGGUGCGAAGCCCUAUGAAUGUACAGAGUGUGGGAAAACUUUCUCCCAUAAGGCGUACCUCACUCAGCAUCAGAAAAUCCACAUGAGCAAGAAGCCUUAUGUGUGUGCUGAAUGUGGGAAAGCUUUCUACCGAUUAUCACACCUUACUUUGCAUCAGAGAACUCACACAAACGAGAAACCUUAUGAUUGUACAGAAUGCCAAAAAUCUUUCUCCUGCCGCUCACAGCUUACUUUACAUCAGCGAACUCACACAGGUGAGAGGCCUUUUGAGUGCAUGGAAUGUAGAAAAUCUUUCUACUACAAGGCACACCUAACUCGACAUCAGAGAGUUCACACCAACGAGAAGCCCUUUGAAUGUAUAGAGUGUGAGAAAUCCUUUUACUGCCAGUCGGACCUCACUGUGCAUCAACGAUCCCACACAGGUGAGAAGCCCUAUGAAUGUAUGGAGUGUGGGAAAUCAUUCUACCAGAAGUCAAAACUUACUCUACAUCAGAGGAAUCAUGUAGGUGAGAAGUCUUACCCAUGCACAGACUGUGGGGAAGUUUUCUAUUGCAAAUCACAUCUCACUCUGCAUCACACAGUACAUACAGAUGAACACCCAUAUGUAUGUACAGUGUGUGGGAAAUGUUUCUACUAUAAGUCACAGCUCAUUGUCCAUGGAAGAACUCACACGGGUGACAGACCCUACAAAUGCGGAGAGUGUGAGAAAGCUUUCUCCCGCAAGCCACACCUCAUUCGACAUCAAAGCAUUGCUCACACAGAUAAGAACAAUUUGAAUGUAGCAAAUGUGGGAAAGGUUUGCACUGUAAGCCGAGACUCACUCUAUGUCCACUCACUUUACCUCAGUGAACACGAACAUGCGCCAAGCAUUUUGAAGGAAAAGAAUGCAGGAUAGUUUUCUACUUCAAGCCACCAAUAACAGCAGAGGGCAACUCAGAUGAAGAACCCUGUGAAUGGGAAGAAAGAGAAAACUUUAUAUGAUGAAGAAGGUUGCCGAGGUUAGGCACGUGGCUGUGGUGUCCCUGUCCCUGCAUGGAAGUCCAGAGAGGCUAUUGUGUGAAAAUGUGAAGGGGAGGCCUGGAGACUCCAAGAGUAUCUGUGGGAUACCUGCCCAGGAAAGCUGCUACCAGAGAGUGCAACCAGCCCCAAAGAAAGAAGUUUGUUGCAGUCAACAGCUGAAAGGAGCCGGAGAGCUGAAGAGCGCUUUGACAUCAGACAUGGAGUUGCAGAAUUUCGAGUUUACCAGCUGUUUUUCAGUCUUGCGUUGGUUCAGCAUUUCCUCACUACGCUCUCUUCCCUAUGUUUUGGAAUGGUAAAGUGUAUCCUGUGCCAUGAUACGUUGGAAGUAUGUGAUCUGCUUUUUUUAUUUUAUCUUAUAGGGGAUUACAAUUAAGAGAUUGCACGAAU